RNAcentral lists this ribosomal RNA (253 nucleotides) under uncultured prokaryote. RNAcentral's name for it is "partial 16S ribosomal RNA". It matches the Rfam family "Bacterial small subunit ribosomal RNA", at positions 524 to 776 of the family's 1533-position model. The record is from RNAcentral.
UACGGGGGGAGCAAGCGUUGUUCGGAUUCAUUGGGCGUAAAGGGCGCGUAGGCGGCGAGGUAAGUCGGGUGUGAAAUCUCAGAGCUCAACUCUGAAACUGCACUCGAUACUGCUUUGCUAGAGGACUGGAGAGGAGAUUGGAAUUCACGGUGUAGCAGUGAAAUGCGUAGAUAUCGUGAGGAAGACCAGUGGCGAAGGCGGAUCUCUGGACAGUUCCUGACGCUGAGGCGCGAAGGCCAGGGGAGCAAACGGG